AGCGGCGGACGGGUGAGUAACGCGUGGGUAACCUGCCCUGUACACACGGAUAACAUACCGAAAGGUAUGCUAAUACGAGAUAAUAUACUUUUAUCGCAUGGUAGAAGUAUCAAAGCUUUUGCGGUACAGGAUGGUCCCGCGUCUGAUUAGCUAGUUGGUAAGGUAACGGCUUACCAGGGCGACGAUCAGUAGCCGACCUGAGAGGGUGAUCGGCCACAUUGGAACUGAGACACGGUCCAAACUCCUACGGGAGGCAGCAGUGGGGAAUACUGCACAAUGGGCGAAAGCCUGAUGCAGCAACGCCGCGUGAGCGAUGAAGGCCUUCGGGUCGUAAAGCUCUGUCCUCAAGGAAGAUAAUGACGGUACUUGAGGAGGAAGCCCCGGCUAACUACGUGCCAGCAACCGCGGUAAUACGUAGGGGGCUAGCGUUAUCCGGAAUUACUGGGCGUAAAGGGUGCGUAGGUAGUUUCUUAAGUCAGAGGUGAAAGGCUACGGCCCAACCGUAGUAAGCCUUUGAAACUGGGAAACUUGAGUGCAGGAGAGGAAAGUGGAAUUCCUAGUGUAGCGGUGAAAUGCGUAGAUAUUAGGAGGAACACCAGUAGCGAAGGCGGCUUUCUGGACUGUAACUGACACUGAGGCACGAAAGCGUGGGAGCAAACAGGAUUAGAUACCCUGGUAGUCCACGCCGUAAACGAUGAGUACUAGGUGU
This 709-nucleotide ribosomal RNA is filed under the name uncultured bacterium. RNAcentral describes it as "bacterial SSU rRNA". It matches the Rfam family "Bacterial small subunit ribosomal RNA", at positions 94 to 823 of the family's 1533-position model. The record is from RNAcentral.